Molecule: ribosomal RNA, 450 nt
Filed under: Halobacillus sp.
Lineage: Bacteria; Bacillati; Bacillota; Bacilli; Caryophanales; Bacillaceae
Description: bacterial SSU rRNA
Rfam family: Bacterial small subunit ribosomal RNA
Source: RNAcentral
AUGGCUUCUCGCUAUCACUUACAGAUGGGCCCGCGGCGCAUUAGCUAGUUGGUGAGGUAACGGCUCACCAAGGCGACGAUGCGUAGCCGACCUGAGAGGGUGAUCGGCCACACUGGGACUGAGACACGGCCCAGACUCCUACGGGAGGCAGCAGUAGGGAAUCUUCCGCAAUGGACGAAAGUCUGACGGAGCAACGCCGCGUGAACGAUGAAGGUCUUCGGAUCGUAAAGUUCUGUUGUUAGGGAAGAACAAGUACCGUGCGAAUAGAGCGGUACCUUGACGGUACCUAACGAGGAAGCCCCGGCUAACUACGUGCCAGCAGCCGCGGUAAUACGUAGGGGGCAAGCGUUGUCCGGAAUUAUUGGGCGUAAAGCGCGCGCAGGCGGUUCCUUAAGUCUGAUGUGAAAGCCCACGGCUCAACCGUGGAGGGUCAUUGGAAACUGGGGAACU